AUGAUUAUAGACAUCUAUUGGCAAUGGAACUUCAUAAAGAGUUACAUAAAAUCUGAGAAACAAUCCCGAGUGAGGUGCCCAGCCCCAGAUAACGGACUCCUCUGUGCUCACAAGGAAGAGGGCAGCACUCAGUUACUACAGAGAGGAAACUGCGGACAAUGCUGUGUUCCAAACGCACUGCCUACGGCAAGACUAAAACUUAGAGUACGUUCAGGGGCCGUGGGAGUAACGCCCGCUGUGCACACAGCCGAAACAAGGAUCAUGGGAGUAAUGCCCAUUGUGCACACAGCAGAGAAAAGGAUCAUGGGAGUAAUACCCACUAUGUACACAGCAGAGACAAGGGCCAUGGGAGUAACAACCACUGUGCACACAGCAGAGACAAGGAUCAUGGGAGUAACACCCGCUAUGUACACAGCAGAGAAAAGGAUCAUGGGAGCAACGCCCGCUAUGUACACAGCACAGAAAAGGAUCAUGGGAGUAAUACCCACUAUGUACACAGCAGAGACAAGGGAUCAUGGGAGCAACGCCCGCUAUGUACACAGCAGAGAAAAGGAUCAUGGGAGUAACGCCCACUGUGUACACAGCAGAUAA
Molecule: long non-coding RNA, 591 nt
Filed under: Oryctolagus cuniculus (rabbit)
Lineage: Eukaryota; Metazoa; Chordata; Mammalia; Lagomorpha; Leporidae
Description: lncRNA (ENSOCUG00000035649.1)
Source: RNAcentral